UUCCAGACUCCUACGGGAGGCAGCAGUGGGGAAUAUUGCACAAUGGGGGAGACCCUGAUGCAGCGACGCCGCGUGAGCGAUGAAGUAUUUCGGUAUGUAAAGCUCUAUCAGCAGGGAAGAAGAUGACGGUACCUGACUAAGAAGCCCCGGCUAACUACGUGCCAGCAGCCGCGGUAAUACGUAGGGGGCAAGCGUUAUCCGGAUUUACUGGGUGUAAAGGGAGCGUAGACGGCGAUGCAAGCCAGAUGUGAAAGCCCGGGGCUCAACCCCGGGACUGCAUUUGGAACUGUGUGGCUGGAGUGUCGGAGAGGCAGGCGGAAUUCCUAGUGUAGCGGUGAAAUGCGUAGAUAUUAGGAGGAACACCAGUGGCGAAGGCGGCCUGCUGGACGAUGACUGACGUUGAGGCUCGAAAGCGUGGGGAGCAAACAGGAUUAGAUACCCGUGUA
Molecule: ribosomal RNA, 446 nt
Filed under: uncultured bacterium
Lineage: Bacteria
Description: bacterial SSU rRNA
Rfam family: Bacterial small subunit ribosomal RNA
Source: RNAcentral